CCAAUAGCGUAUAUUAAAGUUGUUGCAGUUAAAAAGCUCGUAGUUGAAUUUCGGGAUCAAUAUAUCGGUCGUGCCUUGGUACGUACUGGUAUCAUUGGUUUCUCCCUUCUGACGAACCAUGAUGUCAUUAAUUUGGUGUCAUGGGGAAUCAGGACUGUUACUUUGAAAAAAUUAGAGUGUUUAUAGCAGGCUCACGCUUGAAUACAUUAGCAUGGAAUAAUGAAAUAGGACGUUUGACCCUAUUUUGUUGGUUUCUAGGAUCGACGUAAUGAUUAAUAGGGAUAGUUGGGGGCAUUAGUAUUCAAUUGUCAGAGGUGAAAUUCUUGGAUUUAUUGAAGACUAACUACUGCGAAAGCAUUUGCCAAGGAUGUUUUCAUUAAUCAAGAACGAAAGUUAGGGGAUCGAAGACGAUCAGAUACCGUCGUAGUCUUAACCAUAAACUAUGCCGACUAGGGAUCGGAUGAUGUUAAUUUUUUAAUGACUCAUUCGGCGCCUUACG
This 499-nucleotide unclassified non-coding RNA is filed under the name uncultured Glomus. Its description in RNAcentral is "SSU rRNA". It matches the Rfam family "Eukaryotic small subunit ribosomal RNA", at positions 591 to 1092 of the family's 1831-position model. The record is from RNAcentral. Lineage: Eukaryota; Fungi; Glomeromycota; Glomeromycetes; Glomerales; Glomeraceae.